AAAGAGCCCCCUGGUGCCCAAGUCUAAAAAUUAGUAGGGAUACACCGAAAUGAAAAUUCUGGACUGAAACUGAAAAUUCAGCAUUCACUUGGCCAAAACCGAAAAAACCCCCAAAAAACAACAACUUUAAAAUACUUUAUUAAAAGUAACACCAAAAUUAGACAAAAAAA
This is a long non-coding RNA of Spea bombifrons (plains spadefoot toad), 170 nucleotides long. RefSeq lists it as uncharacterized. The record is from RefSeq and is a predicted model, not a curated record. NCBI's taxonomy places the organism in Eukaryota, Metazoa, Chordata, Amphibia, Anura, Pelobatidae. The transcript has 2 exons.